Molecule: ribosomal RNA, 577 nt
Filed under: uncultured bacterium
Lineage: Bacteria
Description: partial 16S ribosomal RNA
Rfam family: Bacterial small subunit ribosomal RNA
Source: RNAcentral
UGGGAAUUUUGGACAAUGGGCGAAAGCCUGAUCCAGCAAUGCCGCGUGUGUGAAGAAGGCCUUCGGGUUGUAAAGCACUUUUGUCCGGAAAGAAAUCCUUGGCUCUAAUACAGUCGGGGGAUGACGGUACCGGAAGAAUAAGCACCGGCUAACUACGUGCCAGCAGCCGCGGUAAUACGUAGGGUGCAAGCGUUAAUCGGAAUUACUGGGCGUAAAGCGUGCGCAGGCGGUUUGCUAAGACCGAUGUGAAAUCCCCGGGCUCAACCUGGGAACUGCAUUGGUGACUGGCAGGCUAGAGUAUGGCAGAGGGGGGUAGAAUUCCACGUGUAGCAGUGAAAUGCGUAGAGAUGUGGAGGAAUACCGAUGGCGAAGGCAGCCCCCUGGGCCAAUACUGACGCUCAUGCACGAAAGCGUGGGGAGCAAACAGGAUUAGAUACCCUGGUAGUCCACGCCCUAAACGAUGUCAACUAGUUGUUGGGGAUUCAUUUCCUUAGUAACGUAGCUAACGCGUGAAGUUGACCGCCUGGGGAGUACGGUCGCAAGAUUAAAACUUAAAUGAAUUGACGGGGUCAUGCUG